GGUUAUAUAGCUCGGGGUAGAGUGCCUGCUUAGCACGCACGAGGUCCUGGGUUCAAUCCCCAGUACCUCCA
This 71-nucleotide transfer RNA is filed under the name Camelus bactrianus (Bactrian camel). It matches the Rfam family "tRNA". Rfam says of the family: Transfer RNA (tRNA) molecules are approximately 80 nucleotides in length. Their secondary structure includes four short double-helical elements and three loops (D, anti-codon, and T loops). The record is from Rfam by way of RNAcentral. RNAcentral also lists the same sequence under 2 other names. Lineage: Eukaryota; Metazoa; Chordata; Mammalia; Artiodactyla; Camelidae.